GCCCGGGGUCCGCAUGCGUCUGCGCAGCUGCGAGGUUAAGCCGCCCUUUGGCGGUCCCCAGGACAGUUCCUGGUGCCAGACGGUCCCAGAUCUGCAAUCAGAACUAUUGAACUUCUCCAUCUGGACCACCACUCACACCUAUAGGAAAAGGUAAAAAGACAGGAAUGUCAGGCCU
Pan troglodytes (chimpanzee) is the source of this 175-nucleotide long non-coding RNA. RefSeq lists it as uncharacterized. The record is from RefSeq and is a predicted model, not a curated record. Lineage: Eukaryota; Metazoa; Chordata; Mammalia; Primates; Hominidae. The transcript is spliced from 3 exons.